CUUCAGGCAGCAGCGCUUGCUGAUGGCUCCUGGCUUUGUAAACACCUCCUGAUGACUGAAUUAUGACACAGCACUUGCAUGGCAUGGUUGGAGAUUGCUUAGGCCUGUCCUGGCUGGGCAAUGAACAAAGUUAAUAUGUGUUUCAUGUACAAUGUGGUGGUACACAAAAUCCAUCCCAAAUUAAUCUCGUAUCACUGCGUAUCGGAAGAGCUAUUUACAGAGCUUCUGCAGCAACAUCUAGGCUUCAUGCUACCUGUAAUGCAGAAUGACUUCCUGGGGCCAUCUCCAGAUUCUUUCUGCUUACAGCUUGUGAUUACUCCUCUGAAUUUUAGGUUGAUUACAAUGUUUGGAUGUUUGGACUAGAGCAAAGGUAGAGGAGAGUUACAUCCAUAAUGUUCACAACUGGACAUGGAGUCAGCUGCAGCCUUCGAGUGAAGUGGUGUGCUGCCACAACAAGCCCCCAGACUUUUCCCAGAAAGGCCUGGGAAAAUUGUCUGUUGCUUUCUGUGCCAGAGAGCUGCUGCCACAGUGGUGCACAUCCUGCUGCAAGAAUCUCCUCGCAGCACCAGCAAUAGGGGCAGGACUAAUACCAGGGCUAGUACCAAAAUGUGUGGUAGCCCAUGUGCCAGCAUGGCAGGGAAGCUCAGUGAUGGCAUAACUCCCACAUCACAAUGGGGACCGCCUCCAUCCCAGGGGAGCUCCUGCCAACCCUUGCUCAAAUCAGAGGAUGUCUGUCUGAGCACAGAACUUCAUCAAUUGGUUCCAUGUUUGUUUCCACUAACUCUAAGAAAGAGAGUCAAUUGAGAAUGAGGAGUUGGUGCCAGCGGAACUUCUUUAUUGCAUGAAGUUUCUCACAUCCGCAAAUCAGGCUGUUCAUAUUCAUGAUCAAUGACAGAGAAUAAGAUUCAGUGAAAAGGAUAGUCUGGCAAAUCCUUGAGAUCAAAUGGUCUUAAAGAGAGGAAAUUUUUAUCUCCCCUAUUGAAUUCAUAUUUAUGGAAUACAGUUCAUGUUCUUUGCAACAUAAAAACAUUUGUAUAGGUUUUGUUCUGACUUCUACAAGUUGUUUAUUUUUAAGAUAUCAAGCCGGUAUUAAAGAAGACAAAUAAAAAUACCUAAGAUGUUUCCUGGGAUAAAUAGAAUAUAUCCUAUUGAAAUCCUAGAAUUUCAAAUGUUAAGAUCAAGUAAUCCAUCAUAGCAGCCAUAAAACGUGGCAGUGUAGCCACAUGAAUUGUAUGCUGGGAUCCAACAGACAUGGAGCAUUUUCUUUCUUGUGUCUCUGAGCUGCAUAGGCAGGUCACUUUACUUCUUUCUGCCUCAGUUAUUCCAUCUAAAAACGUCAAUAAUAAUGCUGUCAUACUUUGUGAUGUUAGGUAGUACUACAGUAACCUCUUCUUUAUAUGCAGGAACUGAGAACUAUCAGAAAUAAAAAUAUAUUUUCUGUGAUGGACUGUUGCUUUUAAGGCUCAGAGUAGACUGUCAGCAAAGUUGCUAUUUUUGGCUGCAAAAAUUGUGGGUUUGAGUUUAUUGCUAGAAUGGAUUAUCUUCCAAUAAAAAUUGUAUUUCAUUUAAAGCUUGCUUACUGAAGAAUGUAACCACAUCAAAUUUCAUAAUUUUUAUUCAUUUUAAAUAUAAUUCUGUUAUUCAUUAGUUGUUCUUAUUACAGCAAUAGUGGAUGACACAUUCAUUAUAAGCAGUACUUGUUUCCAGAGACCAAUAACUUUUUGAAAUUACUAGAUUUUGAGUAGAAAGUUUCACAUUAAUUUCAUCUUAGGGGUGAAUAUUUUGGAUGUUUAAUUUUAAAAAUCUGAAAUUGAGCUGGAUUAUCUUUUAGGAAAAGAUGUGCAACAAAUGGCAGGUAUUAUUUGGUUUGGUUUUUAGCAGUUAUAAAUACACUGCUCAAUCUAGUUUCCUUUCUUAAAUCUGUUGAGUAUUGCAUUUCAUCUGCUACAAGA
Long non-coding RNA from Passer domesticus (house sparrow), 1952 nucleotides. RefSeq lists it as uncharacterized. The transcript has 3 exons. NCBI's taxonomy places the organism in Eukaryota, Metazoa, Chordata, Aves, Passeriformes, Passeridae. The record is from RefSeq and is a predicted model, not a curated record.